AACUGUCCCUUCAUAGCCGAUGGGAAGAACAUGUUGAUCAGAACAUGCUUUUGUGAACAUGGUUUACCAUUAAGGAGCCACACCCACCAUUCAAUCUAAUUAGAUCUGCUCAACAACAUUGGGUGACAGGAGCUGUGGCAGCAUCUCCAGACUAUGGUAGUUAGCCAAGGAUGAGGAUGCAUCCCUGCACCACUACUGGCUGACGGCAGCCAUAUCCUGCUGGGCACAAAGUUGGCUGAAACUGAUGGUGUAAAAGUCCACCGGCAAAGAGGGGAAGCCAGACCACAUGCAGAGACUAACCAUCCGGUCAAAUGAGGAUGAAGAGGUUUUGUUCCUAUUGUGGCCACUAACCAAGAAACAUUCCAUGCCAUCUAGAAAGAGGCACAGACCAUGUGACUGUUAAAUCUGGACUCUCAGUUUGAUGAGAUUGAGGACCUCAAAGGGAGACAGCUCUUUGAGGGUGUCUGUGAGGAAGUUUUUUUGGCUGGGUGAACUGAGUUGGGAACCACACACUAAUGUGGGCAGCACCAUCCUAUGGGCUGAAGCCAAUCUGAAUAAAAGAGAGAAAGUGAAUCC
RNAcentral lists this long non-coding RNA (576 nucleotides) under Rattus norvegicus (Norway rat). Its description in RNAcentral is "long non-coding RNA NONRATT008568". Lineage: Eukaryota; Metazoa; Chordata; Mammalia; Rodentia; Muridae. The record is from RNAcentral.